UAACAGGGUUCGUACGGGUCCUUAAAGUUCAUAAAAAUCCAUAAAAAUGAUAAGUUGUAAAAUUAUGUUCUUAAUUGUCCAUUAUUUUCAGGGAAAUCUUCUAAAAUCCAUAAAAAUUAACCUGCGGUGUUCAUUUCAUUUGUGUAUAUCAUUUUCUCCACCCUUCCAAUUAAUAGUUUUGUCAGAACAUGCAGGACCUGGUACGCGCUCUGCUUUUUCCGCCGUCUCCGAUUAGUUCCGACGAUGAUCACAUGAUCACUUGGGUCAUUCCGGGAAACAACAAUACAGUAGAUUGACACCAUCCUGGAGCAGUGAAUGGAUGGUUUGGUUGCCGGCUCGGUAAACAAUUGCCGUAUUUUCUGGAAAAAUCUGUUCAUUGAAUUUAUCGAUCUCAACAAGUGACAGACAAAUAUUGUGAGUCGCUACAAAUAUUCCGGGACAAUGCUAUUUUCAAGUGGCGUGGCUGGAGAAGCCGGAGUUCCGUGUUUGGGUCAGAAAAAUUGCUGGUGAUUACACGUCGGCCUACUGCCGAGUGUGGAAGGGCAUCUGCGUGAGAGGUAAAACUUGUCAUAGCCUCCUGCUCAAGUCAAAUGCAUUGAGGCACACAGCAAAACAGAAGAAAAUUGAUCGCCAAGAACUUGCAAAAGAGUGAGGAGAAAACUAAGUCACUGUCUGCUAUUCUCUAAUUGACAUAUCAGUUUCAUAUUU
Molecule: long non-coding RNA, 708 nt
Organism: Hippocampus zosterae (dwarf seahorse)
Lineage: Eukaryota; Metazoa; Chordata; Actinopteri; Syngnathiformes; Syngnathidae
Exons: 3
Source: RefSeq, a predicted model, not a curated record